This 253-nucleotide ribosomal RNA is filed under the name uncultured bacterium. RNAcentral describes it as "partial 16S ribosomal RNA". It matches the Rfam family "Bacterial small subunit ribosomal RNA", at positions 524 to 776 of the family's 1533-position model. The record is from RNAcentral.
UACAGAGGUCCCGAGCGUUGUUCGGAUUUAUUGGGCGUAAAGGGUGCGUAGGCGGCGGAGUAAGUUGGGUGUGAAAUCCCGGGGCUCAACCUCGGAAUUGCAUUCAAUACUGCUUCGCUCGAGUACUGGAGAGGAGGCUGGAAUUUACGGUGUAGCAGUGAAAUGCGUAGAUAUCGUAAGGAAGGCCGGUGGCGAAAGCGAGCCUCUGGACAGUUACUGACGCUGAUGCACGAAGGCCAGGGAAGCAAACGGG